RNAcentral lists this ribosomal RNA (768 nucleotides) under Marasmius griseoroseus var. diminutus. Its description in RNAcentral is "LSU rRNA". It matches the Rfam family "Eukaryotic large subunit ribosomal RNA", at positions 163 to 920 of the family's 3401-position model. The record is from RNAcentral. Lineage: Eukaryota; Fungi; Basidiomycota; Agaricomycetes; Agaricales; Marasmiaceae.
ACCCGCGGCUGGACCGUGUAUAAGUCUCCUGGAAUGGAGCGUCAUAGAGGGUGAGAAUCCCGUCUUUGACACGGACUACCAGGGCAUUGUGGUGCGCUCUCGAAGAGUCGAGUUGUUUGGGAAUGCAGCUCUAAAUGGGUGGUAAAUUCCAUCUAAAGCUAAAUAUUGGCGAGAGACCGAUAGCGAACAAGUACCGUGAGGGAAAGAUGAAAAGAACUUUGGAAAGAGAGUUAAACAGUACGUGAAAUUGCUGAAAGGGAAACGCUUGAAGUCAGUCGCGUUAUCCGGGGAUCAGCCUUGCUUUUGUUAGGUGUACUUCCUGGAUGACGGGUCAGCAUCAGUUUCGACCACUGGAAAAAGACUUGGGGAAUGUGGCACCUUCGGGUGUGUUAUAGCCUCUUGUCGUAUGCAGUGGUUGGGACUGAGGAACUCAGCACGCCGCAAGGCCGGGUUUCGACCACGUUCGUGCUUAGGAUGCUGGCAAAAUGGCUUUAAGCGACCCGUCUUGAAACACGGACCAAGGAGUCUAACAUGCUUGCGAGUGUUUGGGUGGAAAACCCGAGCGCGCAAUGAAAGUGAAAGUUGGGAUCUCUGUCGUGGAGAGCACCGACGCCCGGACCAGAUGUUUACUGACGGAUCUGCGGUAGAGCACGUAUGUUGGGACCCGAAAGAUGGUGAACUAUGCCUGAAUAGGGCGAAGCCAGAGGAAACUCUGGUGGAGGCUCGUAGCGAUUCUGACGUGCAAAUCGAUCGUCGAUUUGGGUAUAG